AUUGAACGCUGGCGGCAUGCUUUACACAUGCAAGUCGAACGGAAACAGGGUGCUUGCACCGCUGACGAGUGGCGUACGGGUGAGUAAUGCGUCGGAACGUGCCGAGUAGUGGGGGAUAACGCAGCGAAAGUUGUGCUAAUACCGCAUACGUACUGAGGUAGAAAGUGGGGGACCUUCGGGCCUCACGCUAUUCGAGCGGCCGACGUCUGAUUAGCUAGUAGGUGAGGUAAAGGCUCACCUAGGCGACGAUCAGUAGCGGGUCGGAGAGGAUGAUCCGCCACGCUGGGACUGAGACACGGACCAGACUCCUACGGGAGGCAGCAGUGGGGAAUUUUGGACAAUGGGCGAAAGCCUGAUCCAGCCAUGCCGCGUGUCUGAAGAAGGCCUUCGGGUUGUAAAGGACUUUUGUCAGGGAGGAAAUCCCUAGUGCUAAUAACACUGGGGGAUGACAGUACCUGAAGAAUAAGCACCGGCUAACUACGUGCCAGCCGCCGCCGUAA
RNAcentral lists this ribosomal RNA (500 nucleotides) under uncultured bacterium. RNAcentral describes it as "partial 16S ribosomal RNA". It matches the Rfam family "Bacterial small subunit ribosomal RNA", at positions 30 to 523 of the family's 1533-position model. The record is from RNAcentral.